ACGCGGUAACAAUGAGUGCUUAGUGUUUGGGCGUUUCCGCCCCUUAGUGCUGCAGCUAACGCAUUAAGCACUCCGCCUGGGGAGUACGGUCGCAAGACUGAAACUCAAAGGAAUUGACGGGGGCCCGCACAAGCGGUGGAGCAUGUGGUUUAAUUCGAAGCAACGCGAAGAACCUUACUGGUCUUGACAUCCUCUGACAAUCCUAAAGAUAGGACGUCCCCUUCGGGGGCGCGAGACAGGUGGUGCAUGGGUGUCGUCAGCUCGUGUCGUGAGAUGUUGGGUUAAGUCCCGCAACGAAGCGCAACCCUUGAUCUUAGUUGCCAGCAUUCAGUUGGGCACUCUAAGGUGACUGCCGGUGACAAACCUGGAGGAAGGGUGGGGAUGACGUCAAAUCAUCAUGCCCCUUAUGACCUGGGCUACACACGUGCUACAAUGGACAGAACAAAGGGCCAGCGAAACCGCGAGGUUAAGCCAAUCCCACAAAUCUGUUCUCAGUUCGGAUCUGAAGUCUGCAACUCGACUGCGUGAAGCUGGAAUCGCUAGUAAUCGCGGAUCAGAAUGCCGCGGUGAAUACGUUCCCGGGCCUUGUACACACCGCCCGUCACACCACGAGAGUUUGUAACACCCGAAGUCGGUGAGUUAACCUUUAGGAAGGCACCCACCAAAGGGGGAACAAAUGAUGGGGGGUGAAUUCUAAAAAGGGGACAAAAAA
RNAcentral lists this ribosomal RNA (712 nucleotides) under Bacillus subtilis. RNAcentral describes it as "bacterial SSU rRNA". It matches the Rfam family "Bacterial small subunit ribosomal RNA", at positions 797 to 1506 of the family's 1533-position model. Lineage: Bacteria; Bacillati; Bacillota; Bacilli; Caryophanales; Bacillaceae. The record is from RNAcentral.